Molecule: ribosomal RNA, 497 nt
Filed under: uncultured bacterium
Lineage: Bacteria
Description: partial 16S ribosomal RNA
Rfam family: Bacterial small subunit ribosomal RNA
Source: RNAcentral
GAUGAACGCUGGCGGCGUGCCUAAUACAUGCAAGUCGAGCGAACAGACGAGGAGCUUGCUCCUCUGACGUUAGCGGCGGACGGGUGAGUAACACGUGGAUAACCUACCUAUAAGACUGGGAUAACUUCGGGAAACCGGAGCUAAUACCGGAUAAUAUAUUGAACCGCAUGGUUCAAUAGUGAAAGACGGUUUUGCUGUCACUUAUAGAUGGAUCCGCGCCGCAUUAGCUAGUUGGUAAGGUAACGGCUUACCAAGGCGACGAUGCGUAGCCGACCUGAGAGGGUGAUCGGCCACACUGGACCUGAGACACGGUCAAGACUCCUACGGGAGGCAGCAGUAGGGAAUCUUCCGCAAUGGGCGAAAGCCUGCCGGAGCAACGCCGCGUGAGUAAUGAAGGUCUUCGGAUCUUAAAACUCUGUUAUUAGGGAAGAACAAAUGUGUAAGUAACUAUGCACGUCUUGACGGUACCUAAUCAGAAAGCCACGGCUAACUACGUG